GAUGAAGAACGUAGCGAAAUGCGAUAAGUAGUGUGAAUUGCAGAAUUCAGUGAAUCAUCGAAUCUUUGAACGCACAUUGCGCCCCUUGGUAUCCCGAGGGGCAUGCCUGUUCGAGCGUCAUUUCACCACUCAAGCCUGGCUUGGUGUUGAGCGACGUCCUCUUUGGGGACGCGCCUCGAAACGCUCGGCGGCGUGGCACCGGCUUUAAGCGUAGCAGAAUCUUUCGCUUUGGAAGUCGGGGCCCCGUCUGCCGGAAGACCUGCUCGCAAGGUUGACCUCGGAUCAGGCAGGGAUACCCGCUGAACUUAAGCAUAUCAAUAAGCGGAGGA
This 329-nucleotide unclassified non-coding RNA is filed under the name soil metagenome. RNAcentral's name for it is "partial contains 5.8S ribosomal RNA, internal transcribed spacer 2, and large subunit ribosomal RNA". The stretch from base 1 to 120 matches the Rfam family "5.8S ribosomal RNA", at positions 35 to 154 of the family's 154-position model. The record is from RNAcentral.